Molecule: transfer RNA, 74 nt
Filed under: Candidatus Gottesmanbacteria bacterium RIFCSPLOWO2_01_FULL_43_11b
Lineage: Bacteria; Candidatus Gottesmaniibacteriota
Description: tRNA-Arg
Rfam family: tRNA
About the family: Transfer RNA (tRNA) molecules are approximately 80 nucleotides in length. Their secondary structure includes four short double-helical elements and three loops (D, anti-codon, and T loops).
Source: RNAcentral
GCGCCUGUAGCUUAACCGGAUAGAGCGUCUGUCUUCGGAACAGAAGGUUGGGGGUUCGAUUCCCUCCAGGCGCG